GAUGAACGCUGGCGGCGUGCCUAAUACAUGCAAGUCGAGCGAACGGACGAGAAGCUUGCUUCUCUGAUGUUAUCGGCGGACGGGUGAGUAACACGUGGAUAACCUACCUAUAAGACUGGGAUAACUUCGGGAAACCGGAGCUAAUACCGGAUAAUAUUUUGAACCGCAUGGUUCAAUAGUGAAAGACGGUUUUGCUGUCACUUAUAGAUGGAUCCGCGCUGCAUUAGCUAGUUGGUAAGGUAACGGCUUACCAAGGCAACGAUGCAUAGCCGACCUGAGAGGGUGAUCGGCCACACUGGAACUGAGACACGGUCCAGACUCCUACGGGAGGCAGCAGUAGGGAAUCUUCCGCAAUGGGCGAAAGCCUGACGGAGCAACGCCGCGUGAGUGAUGAAGGUCUUCGGAUCGUAAAACUCUGUUAUUAGGGAAGAACAUAUGUGUAAGUAACUGUGCACAUCUUGACGGUACCUAAUCAGAAAGCCACGGCUAACUACGUG
Molecule: ribosomal RNA, 497 nt
Filed under: uncultured bacterium
Lineage: Bacteria
Description: partial 16S ribosomal RNA
Rfam family: Bacterial small subunit ribosomal RNA
Source: RNAcentral